This is a long non-coding RNA of Etheostoma cragini (Arkansas darter), 117 nucleotides long. RefSeq lists it as uncharacterized. Lineage: Eukaryota; Metazoa; Chordata; Actinopteri; Perciformes; Percidae. The record is from RefSeq and is a predicted model, not a curated record. The transcript is spliced from 3 exons.
UCGAGAAAGACACACGAGGGGCCUUGUUUUAACGAUCUAAGAGCACGGCGUAAAGCACGUGGCGCAGGUGCGUUUAGGGCGUGUCCAAGCCCACUUUUGCUAGUUUGACGACUGAAA